RNAcentral lists this ribosomal RNA (241 nucleotides) under uncultured bacterium. Its description in RNAcentral is "partial 16S ribosomal RNA". It matches the Rfam family "Bacterial small subunit ribosomal RNA", at positions 28 to 269 of the family's 1533-position model. The record is from RNAcentral.
GACGAACGCUGGCGGCGUGCUUAACACAUGCAAGUCGAGCGGUAAGGCCCUUUCGGGGGUACACGAGCGGCGAACGGGUGAGUAACACGUGGGUGACCUGCCCUCAGCUCUGGGAUAAGCCUGGGAAACUGGGUCUAAUACUGGAUAUGACUCCACGGUGCAUGUCGUGGGGUGGAAAGCCUUGUGCGGCUGAGGAUGGGCCCGCGGCCUAUCAGCUUGUUGGUGGGGGNGAUGGCCUACC